UGGCAAUAGCGUAAUUUCGGAUUGAUUUGAGCUUGGUUUGAGGUAAUGCUUCUACACAAGUAAUGAUAAGCCCCAGCUUUAAUAUCAGUUGGAAGUGGACACUACCCAAAUAUAGCACUCAAAUCUGUUGGGGGUUGCAUUUGGAUUCAGUGGUUAUAUUGCGGGUGGUGUACUUAACACAUUAAGGAACUUAUUCAUGUUUUGGGACAACUCACUUGCUCAUACCUCUAGUAUAUUGGGCAGUUGUGUUGCCCCCUUUGGCGCAAGGCUCUGGCUUUUGUACACUACUAAUGUUGACAGUACUCAAGCUGUUCAUACAGGAGUAUAUUGGUGGAGGGACUUGCACAUGGACUACUACGGAGAUGCACACAUGGAAGAAGAGGCAUUACAUUGAUUGAUCAUGGUUACUUACUUGGAGGGGCACACAUUGGCUAGCUUUGCCCAAUUUCCAUGCUCAUGCGUGGACACUUUUAGGAUCUGAUAGUGAUUUCGAAUCUAUCUGAUAUGUUUUACCAGUCCCCUCCUUCCUGGUAAGAUUCUUUCCGCAGCGUUAUUCCAAAAAACAAAAAUUGCAGUUAAAAGGAGUACAUAACCAAGAAGCUUAUGUAAAAUGUGAGAUACAAGCAUGCACAAUGAUCCAUCCAAUUGGCAACAGCAUAAGUGCACAAAACAGAAGUAUAGACAUGGUUGUUUAUAAAGCUAGAUUUUUUUCCCA
Nicotiana attenuata is the source of this 715-nucleotide long non-coding RNA. RefSeq lists it as uncharacterized. The transcript is spliced from 2 exons. The record is from RefSeq and is a predicted model, not a curated record. NCBI's taxonomy places the organism in Eukaryota, Viridiplantae, Streptophyta, Magnoliopsida, Solanales, Solanaceae.